AUUGAACGCUGGCGGCAUGCUUUACACAUGCAAGUCGAACGGUAGCAGGCCGCAAGGUGCUGACGAGUGGCGAACGGGUGAGUAAUGCAUCGGAACGUGCCCAGUCGUGGGGGAUAACGCAGCGAAAGCUGUGCUAAUACCGCAUGCGAUCUAUGGAUGAAAGCGGGGGACCGUAAGGCCUCGCGCGAUUGGAGCGGCCGACGGCAGAUUAGGUAGUUGGUGGGGUAAAGGCUCACCAAGCCAACGAUCUGUAGCUGGUCUGAGAGGACGACCAGCCACACUGGGACUGAGACACGGCCCAGACUCCUACGGGAGGCAGCAGUGGGGAAUUUUGGACAAUGGGUGCAAGCCUGAUCCAGCAAUGCCGCGUGCAGGAAGAAGGCCUUCGGGUUGUAAACUGCUUUUGUACGGAACGAAAAGGUUUGGGUUAAUACCCUGGGCCGAUGACGGUACCGUAAGAAUAAGCACCGGCUAACUACGUGCCAGCCGCCGCAGUAA
Molecule: ribosomal RNA, 498 nt
Filed under: uncultured bacterium
Lineage: Bacteria
Description: partial 16S ribosomal RNA
Rfam family: Bacterial small subunit ribosomal RNA
Source: RNAcentral